RNAcentral lists this ribosomal RNA (447 nucleotides) under Notochaeta sp. SNK-2009. Its description in RNAcentral is "partial 16S ribosomal RNA". It matches the Rfam family "Bacterial large subunit ribosomal RNA", at positions 1922 to 2578 of the family's 2925-position model. Lineage: Eukaryota; Metazoa; Arthropoda; Insecta; Diptera; Sarcophagidae. The record is from RNAcentral.
UUUAAAUGGCCGCAGUAUACUAACUGUGCAAAGGUAGCAUAAUCAUUAGUCUUUUAAUUGAAGGCUGGUAUGAAUGGUUGGACGAGAUACUAACUGUUUCAUAAAAAUUUAUAAUAGAAUUUUAUUUUUUAGUCAAAAAGCUAAAAUAUAUUUAAAAGACGAGAAGACCCUAUAAAUCUUUAUAUUUAAAUUAUUAUAAUUUUGAAGAUUUAUUUUGUUGUAAUAAUUAAUAAUAUUUUAUUGGGGUGAUAUUAAAAUUUAAUAAACUUUUAAUUUUAAAAUUCAUUAAUUUAUGAAUAAUUGAUCCAUUAAUAGUGAUUAAAAGAAUAAGUUACUUUAGGGAUAACAGCGUAAUUUUUUUGGAGAGUUCAUAUCGAUAAAAAAGAUUGCGACCUCGAUGUUGGAUUAAGAUAUAAUUUUAGGUGUAGCCGCUUAAAUUUUAAGUCU